UAGGGAAUCUUCGGCAAUGGGGGCAACCCUGACCGAGCAACGCCGCGUGAGUGAAGAAGGUUUUCGGAUCGUAAAGCUCUGUUGUAAGUCAAGAACGGGUGUGAGAGUGGAAAGUUCACACUGUGACGGUAGCUUACCAGAAAGGGACGGCUAACUACGUGCCAGCAGCCGCGGUAAUACGUAGGUCCCGAGCGUUGUCCGGAUUUAUUGGGCGUAAAGCGAGCGCAGGCGGUUUGAUAAGUCUGAAGUUAAAGGCUGUGGCUCAACCAUAGUUCGCUUUGGAAACUGUCAAACUUGAGUGCAGAAGGGGAGAGUGGAAUUCCAUGUGUAGCGGUGAAAUGCGUAGAUAUAUGGAGGAACACCGGUGGCGAAAGCGGCUCUCUGGUCUGUAACUGACGCUGAGGCUCGAAAGCGUGGGGAGCGAACAGGAUUAGAUACCCUGGUAGUCCACGCCGUAAACGAUGAGUGCUAGGUGUUGGAUCCUUUCCGGGAUUCAGUGCCGAAGCUAACGCAUUAAGCACUCCGCCUGGGGAGUACGACCGCAAGG
Molecule: ribosomal RNA, 547 nt
Filed under: uncultured bacterium
Lineage: Bacteria
Description: partial 16S ribosomal RNA
Rfam family: Bacterial small subunit ribosomal RNA
Source: RNAcentral